UUUGCGGGGGUGGGAUAGGCAUGCAAGUCGUGCGAGAACCGUAGCAAUACGGGGACAGCGGCGUAAGGGAGAGGAACACGUGGAUACGUACCCUUGGGUUCAGGAUAGCCAUGGGAAACUAUGGGUAAUACUGAAUAACAUCUCCGGAUCAAAGGUGAGAUUCCGCCCAGGGAGCGGUCCGCGUCCUAUUAGCUAGUUGGUGGGGUAACGGCCUACCAAGGCGAAGAUGGGUACGAGAUGUGAGAGCAUGAUCUCGCUCAUUGGGACUGAGACACUGCCCAGACACCUACGGGUGGCUGCAGUCGAGAAUCUUCGGCAAUGGGGGAAACCCUGACCGAGCGACGCCGCGUGUGAGAUGAAGGCCUUCGGGUUGUAAAUCACUGUCGUAGGGGAGGAAGUGCUGGUGGAUUCUCCCAUCAGUUUGACCUAUCCUAGGAGGAAGGACGGGCUAAGUUCGUGCCAGCAGCCGCGGUAAGACGGACCGUCCAAACGUUAUUCGGAAUCACUGGGCUUAAAGGGUGCGUAGGCGGCCUGGAAAGUCGGGUGUGAAAUACCUCGGCUCAACCGAGGAACUGCGCUCAAAACUGUCGGGCUCGAGGGAGAUAUAGGUGAGCGGAACUUAGGGUGGAGCGGUGAAAUGCGUUGAGAUCCUAGGGAACACCAGUAGCGAAAGCGGCUCACUGGGUCUUUUCUGACGCUGAUGCACGAAAGCUAGGGGAGCGAAGAGGAUUAGAUACCCUCGUAGUCCUAGCCGUAAACGAUGAGCACUGGUUUGGAGGCUCCUCCAUAGGCCUCCAGACGUAGCGAAAGUGUUUAAGUGCUCCCGCCCUGGGGGGAGUAAUGGUCGGCCAAGGGCCU
This 858-nucleotide ribosomal RNA is filed under the name uncultured bacterium. RNAcentral describes it as "bacterial SSU rRNA". It matches the Rfam family "Bacterial small subunit ribosomal RNA", at positions 36 to 873 of the family's 1533-position model. The record is from RNAcentral.